Molecule: ribosomal RNA, 253 nt
Filed under: uncultured bacterium
Lineage: Bacteria
Description: partial 16S ribosomal RNA
Rfam family: Bacterial small subunit ribosomal RNA
Source: RNAcentral
UACGUAGGGUGCAAGCGUUGUCCGGAAUUAUUGGGCGUAAAGAGCUCGUAGGCGGUCUGUCGCGUCUGCUGUGAAAACUCGGGGCUUAACCCCGGGCCUGCAGUGGGUACGGGCAGACUAGAGGUAGGUAGGGGAGAAUGGAAUUCCCGGUGUAGCGGUGAAAUGCGCAGAUAUCGGGAGGAGCACCGGUGGCGAAGGCGGUUCUCUGGGCCUUACCUGACGCUGAGGAGCGAAAGCGUGGGGAGCGAACAGG